AAAUCUAAAGGUAGAUAAGCUAUAUUAAAAACGAAGUGUCAUGGAAAUUUGCAAUCCAUUUAUGGUCAGCAAUGGCGUUGUUUCCUCGAUAAUCAGUUUUUAGCCUCGACGAUGCAUUAGCUGCAAUCCGAAGAAAACAACUGAUUUCAUUUUAUCAUGGCAGAAAUUUCAUACAUGAAUACCAACUAAACUAUCGAAUGGCUACGUCGCUGAUAUGAGCGGAUUUAACAAUGGAAACGCGGUGUUAUUACCAGUUAAAAAUUACCACAAACGAAGAAUUUGGGAAUAUAUAUCUUACCUUUCGACUGUAUUGUUCACGUAUGUCGAUAGUAUCUUUAAAUUUACGACUGUAUAGCGACAGAAUACGAUUGUUUGUGAAUUGCGAUAUCAAGAUAGAUAUGUGAUAUCAUAGGUCAUGAACUUAUCAUGAAGUUACUCGUAGCUCGUACACAAAUACAGGUUAUGUUAAUUCACGAACGAAUAUGCUAAUCUUGAAAAUAAAAGCUGACUUCAGACGCAUGUUUUGCGACGAAAAGAAAGAAGUAACGUUUGUUUCUUGAAAGAGUCAAUGUAUUUUGUUAGUAAUAGUCAAAUGGUAUUGGAAAUAUUUCUCUAUAUUUAUAUACUGGUUAAAAACAUAGUUCUCUAGCGACAAAA
This is a long non-coding RNA of Xenia sp. Carnegie-2017, 657 nucleotides long. RefSeq lists it as uncharacterized. The transcript has 2 exons. The record is from RefSeq and is a predicted model, not a curated record. NCBI's taxonomy places the organism in Eukaryota, Metazoa, Cnidaria, Anthozoa, Malacalcyonacea, Xeniidae.